GGGGCGGUGGCGUAGUUGGGAGCGCGUCAGACUGAAGCUCAACUUCAAUCAUAUUAUCUGAAGGUCACCGGUUCGAUCCCGGUUCACCCCA
Molecule: transfer RNA, 91 nt
Filed under: Fusarium piperis
Lineage: Eukaryota; Fungi; Ascomycota; Sordariomycetes; Hypocreales; Nectriaceae
Also listed under: 1 other name
Rfam family: tRNA
About the family: Transfer RNA (tRNA) molecules are approximately 80 nucleotides in length. Their secondary structure includes four short double-helical elements and three loops (D, anti-codon, and T loops).
Source: Rfam by way of RNAcentral